CCACCUCUUCCCAUUCCGAACAGAGAAGUUAAGCUCACCAUCGCCGAUGGUACUGCCCCACCAGGUGGGAGAGUAGGUAGCUGCCACGC
Molecule: ribosomal RNA, 89 nt
Filed under: Bacteroidales bacterium
Lineage: Bacteria; Pseudomonadati; Bacteroidota; Bacteroidia; Bacteroidales
Source: RNAcentral